UCAACUUAUCCUCAAUUGGUACCAUUGACUUAAAAUAAUCUUUUAGAUCAAGUGAGCUGUUCUUACCAAUAAUCAAUGGUUUCUGCCAUGAUAAUUUGUUUAUACAUGGUAUUUAAUGUUACUGGAUCAACAACACCAGUUAUUUUCUCAGAAUAAUGAGUUUUUGAAAUGUGAAUCUCAGAAUUUGAUGCACCUCUCUUAGUCAAGUAAUAAAGGAAUGAGUAAAAAAUUAUUACCGGCUUGAGAAUCAAAACGGGGCUUGACAACUAGUAGGCUGUAUUUUGGUGAAAUGUGCUGAAUCUUAUGGUUUCAAGGUUGAUUCAUGUAGUUUAUGUUGAUGUAUGUCAGGUUCAGUUAUAGUCGUUAUUAAAUGACGUUAUAUGUCUGUUAGUUGUCACUGAAUAAUGUCAAGGAUGGCCUUUGCUUUUCCUUUUCCUGUUGUUUGUUGGAUGUGAAAUGAAGUGCAAACCAAUAAAUGUAUUACUGCUGGAUUGUACUGGCUGUACAUGCUUUAAAGAGUGUUUGUCUUAGCUUAUAAGUUGGUCAAAUUAGACCAGCUUAAAAGCCCUAAAAAUACAUUUACCUGUUUGUUUAUAAUAUUUUUUAGGCUUAUAAACUAUUAAAAAGAAAAAAAAAGAGCUGAGGGGACCAGCUUUUCAUUUUGAUGCUUAGAAGCUAAUUUGACUAAGUAUUUUAUCAUAUUAUCCUUAUUUAAUUUAUAAAAUUUCACCAUUAAUCUCAUUUAAUUUCAUUUUUAGUC
This 760-nucleotide unclassified non-coding RNA is filed under the name Hevea brasiliensis (rubber tree). The record is from RNAcentral. Lineage: Eukaryota; Viridiplantae; Streptophyta; Magnoliopsida; Malpighiales; Euphorbiaceae.